UAUAGAGGAGAUGAGUUAGAUUAUCGUGUCCCUCUUCCUCCCACAGUGAACAGCUGGGAAGUGGCUACUUUGGAUCUUAGUUUGGAUUCCCACAGAAGCUUGUGUUAAUCACCAUGAUCAAAGAAACAGAACCAACAGGACAAUGGUCUCCUCUUUUUCUCUCUCUCUCCCUCUCCCUCUGUCUCUGUUUGUCUCUCUCCUUUUCUCUUUCUCUUUCUUCUUUUCCCUCUCUAUUCAUCUUUCUAUUCAUCUAUCCACUAGGUCAUCUGCCAUUUAUCUAACAAUAUGUCAGCCAUCAUCUACCAUCUAUUAUUUGUCUCUCUCUAGCAGUCAUCCAUCUUCCAAGACUCUAUUACCUGUCAAUUAUUUAUCAUUUAUAAUAAUCUAUUAAUAUUCAUAUAUAUCAACUGUUUGAUAUCUUUCAGUCCAUUACCCCAUGACUUUCUAUGUCUGUUUAAUCUAUAACCCAUCGUUUAUAUAAGAGAUUAGCUAAUAUGUUUAUGAUUAUUGUGGCAGCUUAUGGAGUUAGCAUUUACCAAGUAGAGACCUAGAGAAGAUUUCAGUUUACUUUGAUCCAAGUCUGAUGGCCUGAGAUCCAGGAGCUGACAGUAUCAAUCUCAGCCUGAAGGUAGGAGAGUUUACAAAAGAAAUCCCAGCUCACUGAGUGAAGCAAAAUUAUAGCGAAGAAUAUCAGUGAAGCAGGAAAAAAAAUGAACACACUUUCUCCAUAUGGACUGUGCUCUACUCAGGCCUUCGAGGGAUUGGAUGAUGCCGAAUUGUCUUGGAAACAAGCAGCUUAACCCAUUGAUUUUUGUGCAAACUUUAUCCAGCAAUGGCCUCCAUUGGCUUACUCCAAAGCACUGUUUAUCUGGGAGCCCUGAGGCUCCAUCAGAUUGACACAGGUUAAUGACCACAGAGACAGUCUUGAGGAAAAGUGGUUUAUUGACAUGUACAGUGGCUGCUCCAUUGUGGGGCUUCAACUUUCUUACAAAGCUGACAUAUGCCCCCUAGCUGGUGAUGAUGGGCUGCAGCAGGCUCUGCUGUCCUCGGCUUAUCAUCCAAGCUUACAUCUACCAUUUUUGAUAGUACUACUCCACGCACAUGAAGGCUUAACCUCCAUGUUUGAGUGCGAACUGUUUCCCAAGGCCAUUACCACCUCCAAGCUCCCUGUGGAAUCUUGUAAGGCAAGAGUCAGCUGUACUAUAUGCCAGCAUUGCCUCCUCUUAUUGUUCCCUAAAUGUAAUUGAAGUCAAUGUGUGAUGUAGAAUUGACAGGUGCCUCUGCCCCUGCCCCCUGCAACCCCAGGUUUCACAGUCAUCAAGCAUCUGAGAAGCUGGAAGAUGCUAAGGAAGCUAGGUAGCAGAAACAAAAAUAAAUAAAUAAAUAUACAACAGUAACGAUCAGAACUACAACCAGUUCUCAGUCAUCCCUCUGGAUGCGCAGCACCCUAGGCACUCCAUGUUUCUUGCCUUGCCUUACUGACUUAAUGUUCACAGUAAGUCCAUGUAAUGGAACAAGUUGUUUUCCUUAUUUUAUAGUUUAGAAAUGGAGGCUCAGGUACACAGUGGAAGUUGCUUGAGGCAGUAGAGCACAGCAGAGCCCCUGCUGGAUUUCCACUUUGUCCAGUUGCUAGUUGGCAACUGUAUUAAUGUCCUUGUCAUGGGGAUAAAGUAUCUGCCAACAGCAGGUACAUCGGUCACUUUUCUAUUGCUGUGAUGGAAUGCCGUGUCCAGAAGCAACUUAAAGAAAUAAGUUUAAUUUGGAUUAUGGAUCCAGAGUGUUAGAGUCCAUAGAGUCAGGAAGGCUUGGCUGCAAAAAGCCAGAGAAGGAAUAAGAGAAAUCAUCUCUUAACUACACACAAGAAGUAGAGCUAGCAAGCAGAAAGCAGGGUAAGGUUAAGUCCACCCCAUCUGACGUACUUCCUCAAUCAAGUCUCCCUGUCGUAAAGAUUCCAUGAUUUUCCCAAACAAUCUCCAGAUAUUAAUGAAGCCAGAAUUGCUGUUGGUUUUCAAACCCAAACACAAGUAAAUAGCUAUGUACACGUCAAGGGCGAUGCCUGGGAAAUCCUGGAUGUGAAAAUGUCAGCUCUAAGCCAAGGUUCUCCUAUGAGGCGGACAUGCGGCCACUGUGACUGUUUUUCCAGGGAGCAUUGAUCUGGUAACUAUUUCUAUGAGGGAUUGAGAGGAGGAGUGAAACCAAAAUGUUAUGUGGUAAGUCAGUCUCCCCUGCAGGUUCAAUAGUUGCAGUCCUGAUUCAAUAUAUUCUGACCUUCUGGGGUCUGAUAUUGGGUUGCUGUUAAAAUGGGUGAAAAACUGUUGUGGUUUGGUUGAAAAUUGUCCCCCAUAAGGUCACAUAUUUGACAUGUGGACUGCAGGUGAUAGUGUGGAUAGGAAGGUUCUGGAAUCAUUAGGAGGUAGAUUCUUUCUACCUGGGAUGGCUGGGGAUGGACGGGCCUUUAAAUUUUAUAUUUCGUUCUUAUUUUCUGUCCUUUCUCUCCUCACUAGGUAUAGAUGGGAUAUGACCAGUCACCUCCUCUCCUUUUUUUUUUUUUUUUUUUUUGCAGCCACACUUUGCCCGCCAUGGUAGGUUGUCAUACCUAGAACUACAAGUCAAAGUAAAUCCUUCCUGGUAACAGAGUAUCAGUAAAAGAUCGCCUAGAUAAUGUUCACAUGUAAACACGACAAUGUCUUAAUUAUGUUAAUAUGGGAAGUCCUGAAAGUGGGUGUCAUCACUCCCAACUUUGGGGUGUUUAAAUAGCACAGAGCUGGGUAGAAGGCUUAUGUGCACUCAUUUUCUCUCUGCUCUUGGGUGUGGAUGCAGCUAGCUGCUUCAAUUGAUUUCCCCAAAAUGCUGGAGUGUAAUCUGGAAUUACAAGCCAAAUGAACCAUAUCUCCAUCCAAGAUACCCAAGGCAUCCUAUAGCAGGAAGGGUUUAUCUGGGCCCGCCGUUCAGGAUGGUCAGAGUCUACUGCAGUGGAGAGGGAUGGAGGCAGACUUAUGUGAUGGUCGUAGCAGGCUGUUGAGAUCCGCCAUCCCUAAUCGCAAGCCUGAAGCAGAGGAAAUAGGCAGGCAGAGGAGACUUUUGAUCUCAUGGUUGCACCCAUUCAAAGCACUGCAAAUUGCUUUUGUUAAUAUAUAUAUUAUAUAUAAUAUGUAUUAUUAUAUAUAACACAUAGCACCAGGGUAGGAAACUAGAACAAUCCCUUAAGUCACCUGCGAGGUAUUUUGUUACAGCAGCAAGAAAAGCGAGUAAUAGAGACAGAUCCUAUUCGUUUGGUUUUGGAGGAGUUGAAAGACAAGGUGCCACCACUGAGAGACGCACAUCCAAAAGAGGCUUGGGCUCAGACCAAAGAACAUCAGACAGUCAGGUUUCACCAGUGAAAACAGAAUCUAAAAUAAAAUUAAAAAAAAAUCCAAGAAUAAAAGCGAUGGGAGAGAUCAUGCUUCUAAAGUAUAAACUAGUUAACAUUUUCCUUUCAAAUCCUUCCCUUUCUGUAUUUGUAAAAUAUGACUUUACAUUUUUAACCAUCUUUGUGUGAAUUCAGUGUUUGUGGUACACAAGAAUGUUUUCACACAUAGCACACCUCAAACUCACUCUAGCCACACUCUCUUUCCCAUCGCCUAUUUUUACCCCCCACUUCCCAUUAUUCCUCUGUUUCCUUAGCUAGUUGAUUUUACUUACAUGUCAUAAACACAGGUAUGAUUUUAUGUAUCUACAUGAAAUCUAGGAAGCUUAAAUGAGAGAAAACACUUUUGUCUUUCUGAAACUUACUUAAUUCAUUUAGCUUGGCUACCUUCAGUCACCUCCAUUUUCCUGCAAGCUUAACUGGAUUCUUCUUCAUGACUGAAGAAGUUUCCUUUGUGCAUACAAUAUCCUUUAUUCAUUCAUUCCUCUGUGGUCAAACAUGGCAGUUGACUCUGUUUCUAGAUUUCUGAGUAUGAUGUGUCUCUCUUGCAGGUCAACUUCAGGUCCAUUGGGCAAAUAGCCAGAAGUCAUAUUAUUGACUCAUAGGAUGGAUUGCUUUUUAGAUUUUUGUGUGUUUGUUUGCUUGCUUGCAUGCUUGAAGUUAUUGUUAUUUCCCCAUUUUUACAAAGGAAGAACCUAAAUUAAACUUUAUAGAGAGUUAAUCUCUCAGUUGUCUUUAAUUUACCACUGAAUUAAACAUUGUGUCAUGUUUGCCUCAACUAUACCUUCUCCUUUAACUUUAUGAUAAUUCACCUCACAAAGGGAAAUAGUGUGUUCUCAAAGUCCUGUUCUACCUCACCUGUCAAUUUCUACAGCUUUCUUUGGCUAGGUGUGUGAUUUACAUCUCUUAAUCAUUUCAUGCCUUCAUUUUUCAUCAGUAUACUGAACGAUAAUCACCUCAGAUGACUGUUUUGAGCACUAGAUGUUAGUGAAGAUGAAGCCCUUUGAAGAAUACCAAAAGUAUCUUAAGAAUGACAGGAGAUGGUGACUGAAAUUCUCACUUCACCAAGAAAAGCAUCAAGUUGCUGGAGAGAUGGUUCAGUGCUUGAUAGCCCUGGCUGUUCUUAUAGAGGGCCCCGAGUUUAAAUGCCAGCACCUGCAAAGCAGCUUGAAACUGUGACUCCCUCCUGGUCCUCUGAGAUACACCUGCACCCACAUAAUCAGUAUCUGGAGAGAUAGCUUUGCUAAGAAGAACACUUGCUGUUCUUCCAGAGGACCCAACCCUGAUUCCCAGCACCAAAAUCAUCUAGCUUACAACUACUUAUGCCUCUGGAUCCAUCCUUACUCUGCUGGACUCUGUGGGAAACUUUACAUAGGUAGCAUGCACAUACAUAGAUACAGACACAUUUACAUACCUAUCAAUAAUAAAAAUCAAACCAAAAAUAAAUCCUCAUUAUACAGAGAAGUAAACAAACAAGAAUGAUUCCAGCCUUUGUCCCCUCUGUGUCUUUUGCCAUCAAAAUCCUCAUGAUAGCCUACAAAUCUAGGAAUCUCUGCUUCUCAGGGAUCUCACAUUCAUGAUGAUUUUUCAACUACUUUUUUUCUUGGAUUAUAGGCAGACUCUUCAUUUAACCUAGAUCCUUUGUCUGCUGAAAAGCCUCUUCUCUUUAGACCCAGGACUACUAGAUAUAGGCUUGGUCUUUGCAUUUUAUGCUGGGUUGGCUUGAAAUCAGACAAACAUGAGAAUCUAAAUAUGAUUGCUGGGUAGCUAUUCUCAUAAAUGCAUGGAUCCUGGGACUCCAUAGGAAUGAAGCACAGUGAGGGUGAUGAUGACUAAGGAAUCAGGGUGCCCAGUGUGGUUCAGGAGAGAGUGCUAAAAAUGAGAGGCCUGCCUCUGUUACCUAAACAGCAGUGAUCCAACACAUUUCUAGCUCCUUCAUUAAGUUUUAUUUCUACAUAGUUUUAAGGUAGAGCCUUACUCUGGAGUGCUGGAUGGACUUGAACUCACAGAGAUCUGCCUGCCUCUGCCUCUGCCUCUGCCUCUGCUUCUGCCUCUGCCUCUGCCUCUGCCUCCCAAGUCCCAGGAUUAAAGACUGCCACCACACCAGAUUUGUGUGUGUGUGUGUGUGUGUGUGUGUGUGUGUGUUGUAUUGUGUAUGUGUCUGUUUGACAGUCUGUGUCUGUGUCUAUGUCUGUGUCUCUGUGUGCAUGUGUGGGUAUGUGCAUAUGUGAGUACAGUGCCUCCUGAGCCUAGAAGAGGUUUGUUGCCAGUGUUAGAAGUGUCUUUGAGUCACCCAACUUGGGUGCUGGGAACCAAACUCAGGUUCUCUGGAAGAACAGUAUGCACUUUUAACUGCUGAGCUAUCUCUCUAGCCCCUUCCAUUUCUUUCUUAUUGUCUUGGGUGUUUCUGUCUACAACUACUCCAAGUUCUGAAUUCUCUGUUGCCUUUGAUUAUAGGGUAUUUUCUAGAAAUUAUAUAGUAGGCAUGGAUACUAAUCAGAGGUUCCCACUAUUUUUGGGAAAAUGCAUGUUGCUUCCUUUUUCCUUUAAAUACUCAUCUUUGACCUCUGUUUAAUUGCGUCAAUUGGUCCUAACCCCGUCUGCCUUCUCUGUAUCCACUGUCUGAUGGUCCAGCGCAGUGCAGCUGUCUCAUUUAUGUAAUUCAGCAAUCGUACAAAGAGACAGAACUGUGAACACAAUUGUUCCUAGGUAUAAAUAGCAGCAAGCUGGAUAAUCUCAUCUGUGCUUCCAUUCAAACACCCUCACAAAUCCUUCUGUCUUGAGAAUAGUUUAGAUCCUCAUUCCUCUACCCCAUCAGGGAAAUGUAUUUGCUAUACAUUUCGCAAACACUUCUAUUGAACUUGCUAAAUUUUAUUUUUUUCAUGCCUUCCCUAUUAUAUCAUGCCCACCUGCAUGCAGUGGGCUCUGUACAAGUAGCCUGGGAAAAUCUGAGUGCUGAAGUCACUAAAACCUAGGGAUUUUGUGCUCUGAAAGGUUUCAUGAUUGUCCAGUUGCUUCCUCGUCAAUGUGACAAAAGCCACUUAAGGAGAAGGCAGGGAAGGAUUUACUUGGCUCACAGUUUGAGGGCACAGUCCAUCAUGAAGGGAAAUGUGUGCUGGGAGGAUCAAGAAGCACAUGGUCACAUUGCAUCCAGUGAAGAAUCAGAGGUGAGUGCUGGUUCUGCCUUUAUUCUCUGCUUUUGAUUCAGUCCAAGACCUCAGCCCAAGGAAUGAUACUGCCUUUAUUUAUGGUAAAUCUUCUUCCAUCUGCUAAACAAAUCAAGAAACUCUCUCAUAGACUGAGGGAACAUUCAGUAUACCGCACCUCUUUUAUUUGUUUAUUUUAUUCUUUUCUCAUACAUUGCAUCCUAACCACAGUUUCUCCUCCCUCCAUGCGUUCCACCCCUUUUCCCCAGAUCAACUCUUCCUCUGUUUCCCUCCAAAAAGACAGGCCUCACAGGCAUGUAAAUGGCAUAACAAGUUGCAGUAAGACUAAGCACAAACUCUCAUAUCAAGGCCGGGUGAGGUAGGAGGAAAAGAGUCCUAAGUGCAAAUGAAAGACUCCCACUAUUAGACCCACAAAGGAUACUAACUAACAACUAUGAUGUAAAUAUGCAGGGAACCUAGCUCAGAGCCAUGCAGGCUCUGUGGUUGUUCUAUAACUAGGCAAAACUUCCAUUGGUGGGACUGGAGACAUCAACCCCACUAUAAAACCUAUGAUGUACAAUUUAUUCCCACCUGUUAGAUGUGCUGGGCAAACAGUGAUGCAGAACUUAUGAGAGUGGCCAACCAGUGACUGAUCCAACUUGAGGCUCACACCAUGAGAGGGAGCCUAUUCAAGGCAUUGCCUGGAUGACCAGAAACUAGUGGUUGGACAUUCCAGAGACCUAGGAUAGAACCACACAUGACUGGCAAUAAAUAAAUAAAUAAAUAAAUAAAUAAAUAAAUAAAUAAAUAAUAAACUCCACCUCUUCUUCAUAGUGCCCCCCCUAUAGAGCCACACCAGGGAUUUAGCCUUGAACGUAGGGGCCAUUGGUAGAAAUUUAAGAUCCAAACCACAUAGCACUGUCAACCCCAGGGAUCACUUUCAAAUUUUUGCUUACACGUCCUGAUGCUGUAGCAACAAUGAUGUUUUUUCUAUGUAUGUCAUUACCCAAAUUACUGCAGUAUAAGGUGAGCUAAUCACACAAGGGGGGGGGCACGUUAUUUACCUUGUAGAACAGCUAAGAAGCAUUCAGAGUGUUCAUCUUCCAAUUGUUGACAAUAUUAAUUUGCAGUAACUAAUAACUUUGUAUAUGGGCAAUAAUAUCAAUUGACAUGUUUCACCUCAUCUAAACCUUUGAAAGCCACAAAGACGACCUUCACAUCUGUGUUUUUGCUGAACUGUGCACAACAGAGAGUAAUUGGAAUGCCCUUUGACUGGAGGAUGCCUAGUGUGGAUAUGGCACAUACACAAUGGGCACUUACCAAGCUACAAAGAACAACAACACUGUAAAAUGUGCCAAGAAAAAUGAAUGUAUCUGAAAAUAUUAUAUGAAGUGAUAUAAAAGCAAAGCUUUCACUUUUUCAUGUGCAGACACUAAUUUUUAAUGCUAGUGUGUAGGAGAAUGGACUCAGGAGAAAAGGGGAGGAGGAAGAGAAACACCUUGUAUGAAUUUUGAUUGAAGAGAGUAUCCAAGACAUGGUCAAAUGAAUUUACUAACCGUCUCAACUCAGCCUCUUUCCACAUGAAAUGAGGGAUUUGAUACGACAGAUUACAGCAGAACCAUUUUUGGAAUCUUGGUGGCUUUGAUUUUCACAUGAUCAGAUUAUAAACCCACCCAAGGCACCCCUGCACUAAUUAAAAAAGAAAAGGAAAGAAAAGAAUAAGAAAGAAAGGAUGGAAGGAAGGAAAGAAGAAGAAAGGAAAGGAGAACAUUCCUCUGAUAUCACAUCAGGAAAAGAGCCAUUGCCCUAGAGCAUCUCUGCAGUGUCAAGAGCUUAUUCCGCUGGGGAGAUAUAAACAACAUCUACCCCAGCCUCCGAUGGUACCAACAAACCAAAGUAUAAUUCUGUCAGAUUUUACCCCAGGAACCAGUGAAUUGAUAGGUAGGAGAGGGGCUUCUCAAAGAAACGUGGCUGAAUCAAAAGCAGACAUAAUGUAACUUCCUUUAGCAGUGAGAAGUUCCCUGUAGCUGCAUAGAGGGGGGCCCUCUUCAGUUAAGUUCUUCCACUCUAGCACCUCUCUAGCCCUCAAAGCCACGUGGGUCCUCAAGGAUCUGGUAACCCUUGCCAACCCCUUUGGUGAAGGAAUAUCAACAAUCAACAAAGCCUUUUGCUAUGGACUCUUACGAGCUGAUAAGUUUGAGCUGAUGAAGAUUUGCUCAGAUUCUGUUCUCCAGCACCUUCUCAGUGGGUGUCAUCGACAGAAAUAUGUUUCUAGGAAUAUGAGAUUCUCUAAGGACAGAAGCACAGCCACAUAACUGAACACUUCUGAAGGCCACCAAACACUCAUGCAUACACUGCCUUCCUGGGGCAGCAGUGGGUCUUAGCUACCACCCCUUGACCUUUUCAGGUACAGUAGGAGCCAUAAUUCUUUUUCCUCUCUAAAUUUAUGACCAGACUGUCAAAUCUAUUUCAUCAGUGGUAUAUUGUUUUCUCUUUCUGUCAACAGUAUAGUGAUGUGAUCAAACAACCAAGUAAAACAUUAUGGUGAAAAUAAAUGCUAGGGUUAAAGGGAAAGUAAAGUUUAAAAUGGUGUGGUCAGGAACACAAGGGUUGAGAAAUAACAGAGUUUGUCUCUGGCUAUGACAGCCAAGCUGACCAGAAAAGGAUAGGGCUCUGGGAAGACAACUAUAAUGUCACCAGGGUGGCUGGCUCCUAUGAAGUCUCCCUGAAACAUAGAUUUGACACUGUUGUCCUUUUGCACAGUGUUCAUUGUGGGCAACAAUGACUCCGAAAAUUCCUUCACUUCUUCCAGGAGAAAGAGCACCUCAGUCCAUCCCAAAGACAAGGGCUAAAUCUGAGCAACCAAGAAAACUGCAGCUACAUUUUGCUGUUGUUAUGAGUUCCUGUGGUACAGUGUUUAUCCACAGGUCAGAGUUUCCUUAACAGCUACCAGACUCAACCAGGUCAUAGACUGGCAAUAUAUACAGUGUCAGCAACACUCAAUGCUAGCCAAGGCUAGUGUCCUGGUGAUGAACUAAGGUCAGCUGAUAGCAAACAAGGCAAAUGUGUCCAGAGAAGGAUUUCUGCUACCCUUAUUAGGGGUUUAUGAUCAUCCUCCUCAUUGGGACAGAGGUGUGACCAGAGUGUACCCCACUGUUGACUCAUCUGUAAUAUAUAGACAUCUAACAGAUCUCAGAGAAAUUACAUUGCUCUUUAAAAAGUCCCUAGGUUGUCAGCUCAAGACACCCCUCUAUUCCAGUAACCUAACCCUAGCUUGAAAGGAAGGAAACUCUGCUUGUUUGAUUUAUAAACAAAUCCCCAACUCUCUACUCUUUCUGAGUUCUUUCUAUAUUCAAACUCCUUUUUAAAUCUCACCCUUCUCUGUCCAUGAAAUUCACUCACCGAGUUUGCAAGACAAAGGAUCCAGAAACAUGGACUCAGGGGAGGAUGCUGUGGACCCCAGCAUUCUAACUCCUGAGAUAACUGCAGGAGAGAAGACAAUGAAUCCUUUGCAUUCAAGACCCUGGUCCCCCUCCCCCACCCUUAUCAAUAGGGCUUUGAGUUCUAAAAAACUUGUACAUAAAUAUAGUACAUAAAAAACUUGUCUCAUAAAGAGAAAAACAGUUAGGAUAGUCACGACCCCUCAAAACCAUUGGCAAUAUGUGCAUCCCCCCCCCCAAAUGCUAUGAUUUUAAAUGUGACAAAGUAUACCAAUGCCAGAGCACCUAGCACCUCUCAACAAGGUUCAUGUACACUCAUAAUAAUACGACAUUAUAUAAAACAGGUUAUUCCCAUUUUGCCAUUUCCCUUAUUCUACUGUUACCUCUUCGCUUAGGACGUCACACAUGAGAUGUUUGAAAAUGCAAACACUUUUAUAUCUGGUUUGUGUCAAAAAGUGUGUUACAGGAUAAUGCAACAAUUGCCCAUGCUGUGAGAACAGCAGCAAUGUGCUCAGUUUUGUGUUGAAAUUAAUUUUUCUGUACUUUUUCAUAUUUUAUUAGUGAUGCUACAUUUGGAAUGAGGCUUCUCUGUGUGGUAUCUGUUAGACAUGUGUUCUAAUUUUGCGAUGGGGGACGUGGAGGGCUGGUAAAUGCCUAGGUGUAUAUCAGUGGGUGCCUGUAUUUUACAUUAUAUAGGAAACUGAUCAAAUACCUUCCAAUGUGGUAUAUGCAGGUCCCUCUCACAGGAACCAUAUAUGUUAGAAUUAUAUCACAUUCUUCUUAACACUUAGUGAUGACAGAUUUUAAAAGCUUCUGUAAGGCAAAGGACACUGUUGUUAGGACAAAAUGGAAACCAACAGAUUGGGAAAAGAUCUUUACCAAUCCUACAACUGAUAGAUAGAUACAAAGAACUCAAGAAGUUAGACUGCAGGGAGCCAAAUAACCCUAUUGAAAAAUGGGGUUGAGAGCUAAACAAAGAAUUUGCAGCUGAGGAAUGCCGAAUGGCUGAGAAACACCUAAAGAAAUGUUCAACAUCUUUAGUCAUAAGGAAAAUGCAAAUCAAAACAACCCCUGAGAUUUCACCUCACACCAGUGAGGAUUGCUAAGAUCAAAAACUCAGGUGACAGCAGAUGCUGGCGAGGAUGUGGAGAAAGAGGAACACUCCUCCAUUGUUGGUGGGAUUGCAGACUGGUACAACCAUUCUGGAAAUCAGUCUGGAGUUUCCUCAGAAAAUUGGACAUUGAACUACCUGAGAACCCAGCUAUACCUCUCUUGGGCAUAUACCCAAAAGAUACCCUAACAUAUAACAAAGACACAUGCUCCAUUAUGUUCAUAGCAGCCUUAUUUAAAAUAGCCAGAAGCUGGAAAGAGCCCAGAUACCCUUCAACAGAGGAAUGGAUACAGAAAAUGUGGUACAUCUACACAAUGGGAUAUUACUCAGCUAUCAAAAACAAUGACUUUAUGAAAUUCGUAGGCAAAUGGAUGGAACUGGAAAAUAUUAUCCUGAGUGAGGUAACUCAAUCACAGAAAAACACAUAUGGUAUGCACUCAUUGAUAAGUGGCUAUUAGCCCAAAUGCUUGAAUUACCCUAGAUACACAGAACACAUGAAACUCAAGACGGAUGACCAAAAUUCGAAUGCUUCACUCCUUCUUUAAAAGGGGAACAAGAAUACCCUUGGCAGGGAAUAGGGAGGCAAAGUUUAGAACAGAGGCAGAAGGAACACCCAUUCAGAGCCUGCCCCACAUGUGGCCCAUACAUAUACAGCCACCCAAUUAGACAAGAUGGAUGAAGCAAAGAAGUGCAGGCCGACAGAAACGGGAUGUAGAUCUGUCCUGAGAGACACAGCCAGAAUACAGCAAAUAUAUAGGCGAAUGCCAGCAGCAAACCACUGAAGUGAGAACGGGACCCCCAUUGAAGGAAUCAGAGAAAGGACUGGAAGAACUUGAAGGGGCUUGAGACCCCAUAUGAAUAACAAUGCCAAGCAACCAGAGCUUCCAGGGACUAAGCCACUACUCAAAGACUAUAUACAUGGACUGACCCUGGGCUCCAACCUCAUAGGUAGCAAUGAAUAGCCUAGUAAGAGCACCAAUGGAAGGGGAAGCCCUUGGUCCUGCUAAGACUGAACCCAUUGAACGUGAU
Molecule: non-coding RNA, 12132 nt
Organism: Rattus norvegicus (Norway rat)
Lineage: Eukaryota; Metazoa; Chordata; Mammalia; Rodentia; Muridae
Source: RefSeq, a predicted model, not a curated record